UACGUAGGCAGCAAGCGUUGUUCGGAGUUACUGGGCGUAAAGGGUGUGUAGGCGGUUCCUUAAGCUUGCUGUGAAAUCUCCCGGCUUAACCGGGAGGGUGCGGUGAAUACUGAGGGACUAGAGUACGGGAGAGGAAAGAGGAAUUCCUGGUGUAGCGGUGAAAUGCGUAGAUAUCAGGAGGAACAACGGUGGUGUAGACGGCUUUCUGGACCGUAACUGACGCUGAGACACGAAAGCGUGGGUAGCAAACAGG
RNAcentral lists this ribosomal RNA (253 nucleotides) under uncultured bacterium. Its description in RNAcentral is "partial 16S ribosomal RNA". It matches the Rfam family "Bacterial small subunit ribosomal RNA", at positions 524 to 776 of the family's 1533-position model. The record is from RNAcentral.